Molecule: unclassified non-coding RNA, 30 nt
Filed under: Dictyostelium discoideum
Lineage: Eukaryota; Evosea; Eumycetozoa; Dictyosteliales; Dictyosteliaceae
Source: RNAcentral
UCGUAGGCACCCCUGCGGAUGGAUCAUUUU